Molecule: ribosomal RNA, 490 nt
Filed under: uncultured bacterium
Lineage: Bacteria
Description: partial 16S ribosomal RNA
Rfam family: Bacterial small subunit ribosomal RNA
Source: RNAcentral
GAUGAACGCUAGCUACAGGCUUAACACAUGCAAGUCGCAGGGUAACAUGAGGAAAGCUUGCUUUCCUUGAUGACGACUGGCGCACGGGUGAGUAACGCGUAUCCAACCUUCCCAUAACUACGGGAUAACCCGUUGAAAGACGGCCUAAUACCGUAUGAUAUCGUUUGCUGACAUCAAAUAACGAUUAAAGGUUUAGCGGUUAUGGAUGGGGAUGCGUCUGAUUAGCUUGUUGGCGGGGUAACGGCCCACCAAGGCGACGUUCAGUAGGGGUUAUGAGAGGAAGGUCCCCCACAUUGGAACUGAGACACGGUCCAAACCGCUACGGGAGGCAGCAGUGAGGAAUAUUGGUCAAUGGGCGAGAGCCUGAACCAGCCAAGUAGCGUGCAGGACGACGGCCCUAUGGGUUGUAAACUGCUUUUAUGUGGGGAUAAAGUGCGUGACGUGUCAUGCAUUGCAGGUACCACAUGAAUAAGGACCGGCUAAUUCCGUG